GUGGGGAAUAUUGCGCAAUGGGGGAAACCCUGACGCAGCAACGCCGCGUGAAGGAUGAAGGUUUUCGGAUUGUAAACUUCUUUGACGCAGGACGAAAUAAAUGACGGUACUGUGAAAACAAGCCACGGCUAACUACGUGCCAGCAGCCGCGGUAAUACGUAGGUGGCGAGCGUUAUCCGGAUUUAUUGGGUGUAAAGGGCGUGUAGGCGGUACAGCAAGUCAGAUGUGAAAACCCGAGGCUCAACCUCUGGCCUGCAUUUGAAACUGUUGUUCUUGAGUGUCGGAGAGGUAAUCGGAAGUCCGGGUGUAGCGGUGAAAUGCGUAGAUAUACGGAGGAACACCAGUGGAGAAGGCGGAUUACUGGACGAUAACUGACGCUGAGGCGCGAAAGCGUGGGGAGCAAACAGGAUUAGAAACCCGAGUAGUCC
This 428-nucleotide ribosomal RNA is filed under the name uncultured bacterium. RNAcentral's name for it is "partial 16S ribosomal RNA". It matches the Rfam family "Bacterial small subunit ribosomal RNA", at positions 354 to 796 of the family's 1533-position model. The record is from RNAcentral.